This 3177-nucleotide long non-coding RNA is filed under the name Zostera marina. RNAcentral describes it as "long non-coding RNA (ZMAR_LNC002610)". Lineage: Eukaryota; Viridiplantae; Streptophyta; Magnoliopsida; Alismatales; Zosteraceae. The record is from RNAcentral.
GGGUCAUUACAUUUCCUUUUUGUCCGUUUAUAGAGCAUAGGAUGUUAUGCCUUGCCUUUAUCUGCUAAGCUCGAGGUCAGGGUUGGGGUCCAGGUUCUGAUGCCUCAUGGUCCUCAUCUUCACUCUCUUUAAGUUCUUCAACCUCAUGGUCCUCGUCACGAAUUUGACUAGUAAAUGGUCUAGAUUGACAACUCCUAGUCAAUGGCCCUGGGUGCUCAUUCCAUUUCUUCUCAUAAGUCCUUCGUAUUUCAUGAAUGUUCCGGACUUCUUUGGUUAAGUAUCUCUUCUGCAAUUUUUUCUGGUGAUGGAAGAGUGUAUCCUGGACUGUAGCGUCCAAUACCCUCCACCCAUGCCUGAAAAUAAACUUUGGUAAGUAAUUUCAAAUUGUAUAAAAAAAUAGAAAAUGAAAUAUUACCUAUAAUUUAGGAUUAAGAACGACAUUGAAAGGAACACCACUGGUGAAGAAGAAUUUGCCUCCAUAUUGAUGGAGCAGGUCCCUCUCCUUCUUCUUCACAUGAUCAGCUAACGUUGUUUGAUAGAGGGGUUCGGUUUGUCGUUGCCUGAUUAUAUCGUGUCAUGGAUACUAAUAUCUAUCUCUUCCGGCGGACUAUGACGAUCGACAUUUGUAGUUGAAUCUUCCUGAACAUCUUCAUCGUCUUCUUCUUCAAUGUUGUUGUCAAUGUUUUGAUUGGCUUCUUCAAUAGGUAGUUGUUGUUCCUAAUUGUUUUCAUGAAAUUCGUCUAUUAUAAAAACCCUCAAACAAUAAAAAAAAUAAUUAGAAAACCACAACCGUAAUCUACAAAAAUCAUUAUGAGAAUGAUAUGAAAUCUAACUAAGAUUUUUUUCAACUUCUUAUUUUCAACUUCUUAUUUUCAACCCUAACCAUUUUUUCAACUUCUUAUUUUCUUCAAAUCAGUUCGUCGGAAUCUCACCGGAGGGAUGCCUGGAAGUCGCUAGAGGAAUGGGGGGAGGAGGUGGCCGGAGUUGGGAGAAAUCAGACCUGAAAAUAGGUCACCAGGCCGUUUUUGUGAUUUCAGACAGAGUUGAUACUGUUUUAAUUAAUUAAAACAGAGCCGGAGCCGGCUAAGGGAAAUGCGACAGGCGCAUCUCCCUUCGGAGGUGCAUAUGCGCACACAUCCGGAACCUUGCUUGUUUCUAGUUUCUUCGUUUGCAUCAUGUUUGAUUGAUGAUUUCCUUCAUUUUGAGGGAUAAUUUCCUUCAUAUUGAGGGAUGAUUCACGUUUCAACUAUUCCAAAGGGUGACAACGGCUCUUCUUGUAACACUCCGGAUCAAAAGAGAGACUGAUGUCAUUAUUGACCUCCUUAAGGACCACCUCAGAAGGUCUGCUAACGUGUUGUUUGUAUCUUUUAUUUCUUUCUGCCCAUAUAUGCCACGAUAAACACCCAAUAGCAUUCUAUAGUGGUGUGUGAAUUUUUGCGUAGGCUCCGUAAGAUCUCUCAAUCUAAUGGAAAACGAUUUGAAUGGUUAUGGAAAUUGACUAUCAGUAUGCUUAAGGGAAUAUAUUGAUGGAAUCCUUUGGGACUAGACGAAAAUGUAGAACAUGAUAAAUUCUAUGACUUCAUAUUAUUAAAUAAUCGAUUAUUGUUAAUAAGAUGUAUGAAUCUAGGGAUCUGGGCCAAAAAGGCUCCCAAAUUCUCCAUGCUGUUGUGGAGAAUUAAGAUCAAGAGUCUGAACACUUUAACUAGACUACAAAGCUGCAGACUCAACGUAAAUACGUCCUGCCCACUAGUUUCAAAAGAACUGUUACAAGAAGAACUUUGAUCCGUUUUAUUGGAUCAGUCUCUUCUUUGAUCCGGAGUGUUACAAGAACUAUUGUCACCCUUUGGAGACAUCUAUGAUGGAAGCAUGGGAGACUAACCUCCUGAGGCAGCGUAUCUAGUUACUAUAUAACUAGACUACAACUAAUGGAAGAGAGAGUCAAUGAGCUUCUUGCUCAUUUUUUUUUACUUCUGUUUUUUAUUUCUAUACUCUAUGUAAUGUGGGCAUUGCCCUUAUUUUUAAUAAAAUUUAAUUGCUUUAAAAAAAACGAAGCAGGAAUUGGAAACUGAAUAAUAAUGUUACUGGAUUCACCCUGGUGUAUUUAUACAGUUUGCAUAUACUGCUGAUGAGGUAUGUUUCAUGAAUUACACUAGAUCCCUAUUGCUAGAGACCACUAGCUGACUUAACAAUGUUGUUUGGACACUUAGUGGGCAAAAUCCCCCAUCUCCCGCAAUAGAUAUCAGGAUAGGGGAUAUUAUGGAAACAAUACAAAAAUUCACCCACAAGUCCAGUUGUUUGGGGGUACACUGGACUAUGCUAGCAUCCCUUUCCUGGCACAUAUAGUGUGAAAGGAAUAGGAGAUUAAAACAACACACCCUAAGGCCUCUAGAAAUUGUCAGCAGAGAAAUUAUAAAGGAUGUGAGCAUUGCAUAUGAUUCUACAUCCUAUAAGAAGCAUAAUCUUUCACAGAUUGAAAUACAAGCUAUACGCUCAUGGGAGUCCAACCUCUUGAGGUUUCAGUCCUUGGCCAGUUAAUCAGGGUCAUAGUUGUAUAAGAGCUAGACAAUGUUUUUACAUUUACUGUACUUGCAUUUCCUUAUAUUUUGUAAUCUUGGGCUAUGCCCAACCUCUUUUUCAGUAAUGAAAGUUUUAAUUUCUCAAAAAAAAAAUGUAUGGAGGAUGAGAUUACUGGAUCAAUUUGGUUGCAAAUUGACACAUGAAAAUGAUUGAAUGUAUUUUGUUUUGAUGCAAAUUACAAACAUGUGUGUGAAAGGAUCAUUAUCAAAUUUCAAGUGAACCUUAUAGCUUGAGAAAAAUCUGUUAUGAACCAUUAAACAUGGAAGGUGAUUCAUCGGAUUAUUUCUAAUUUAUCAUUUUAGCAGAGCAUGUGUUGUAGUAGAGUAAUGAGUUGUAGAUUAAUUGUUGCAGGAUAUUAUCUACUCGUUGUUUUGAUCAUUUGAUAAAACAUGUUUAUCUGUAGUAUAGAUAAAAUGAGAUUGUUUCAAUUUGACAUCCAUAAAUGAAACAUGAUAAGUUUAGAUUUAUACUCAUUGCGAAUUGACUGAAUUCCUGUCAUGGUGCUGAUUUUUUGUAUUUGCUUAGUUGACAUCUUAGUUAUGACUUACGAAUUGCAGAGAUGAAGACAAUGUUAGAGUUAUCCAGACUGCUUGGUGUUGG